UAAACUUUAAAUCCUGGUUUCGACUCAAUUAUUAAAUUAUAUAAUGCCUGGUGUUACCAAAUAGUACUUUUGAUCUGUCACGACCCGGAUUUCUCACCAUCGGAAGUCGUGAUGGGGCCUACUGAUGAGAGUUAGGCGAGUCAACCCUUAACUACCUCUUUUAUUAACUAACUAAUUUUUUUUAGCAAUUAGCAGUAAUAGCAUGAAAAUAACA
RNAcentral lists this long non-coding RNA (214 nucleotides) under Nicotiana benthamiana. Its description in RNAcentral is "long non-coding RNA (NBEN_LNC040517)". Lineage: Eukaryota; Viridiplantae; Streptophyta; Magnoliopsida; Solanales; Solanaceae. The record is from RNAcentral.